RNAcentral lists this ribosomal RNA (467 nucleotides) under uncultured bacterium. RNAcentral describes it as "partial 16S ribosomal RNA". It matches the Rfam family "Bacterial small subunit ribosomal RNA", at positions 28 to 507 of the family's 1533-position model. The record is from RNAcentral.
GACGAACGCUGGCGGCGUGCUUAACACAUGCAAGUCGAACGGAAAGGCCCUGCUUUUGUGGGGUGCUCGAGUGGCGAACGGGUGAGUAACACGUGAGUAACCUGCCCUUGACUUUGGGAUAACUUCAGGAAACUGGGGCUAAUACCGGAUAGGAGCUCCUGCUGCUUGGUGGGGGUUGGAAAGUUUCGGCGGUUGGGAUGGACUCGCGGCUUAUCAGCUUGUUGGUGGGGUAGUGGCUUACCAAGGCUUUGACGGGUAGCCGGCCUGAGAGGGUGACCGGCCACAUUGGGACUGAGAUACGGCCCAGACUCCUACGGGAGGCAGCAGUGGGGAAUAUUGCACAAUGGGCGGAAGCCUGAUGCAGCAACGCCGCGUGCGGGAUGACGGCCUUCGGGUUGUAAACCGCUUUCGCCUGUGACGAAGCGUGAGUGACGGUAAUGGGUAAAGAAGCACCGGCUAACUACGUG